AUAUAUUGAGGAACACCAGAGGCUAAGGCGAGUACCUGGGACAUAAUUGACGCUGAGGCUUGAAAGCGUG
RNAcentral lists this ribosomal RNA (70 nucleotides) under Candidatus Mycoplasma aoti. Its description in RNAcentral is "partial 16S ribosomal RNA". Lineage: Bacteria; Bacillati; Mycoplasmatota; Mollicutes; Mycoplasmatales; Mycoplasmataceae. The record is from RNAcentral.